This 253-nucleotide ribosomal RNA is filed under the name uncultured bacterium. Its description in RNAcentral is "partial 16S ribosomal RNA". It matches the Rfam family "Bacterial small subunit ribosomal RNA", at positions 524 to 776 of the family's 1533-position model. The record is from RNAcentral.
GACAGAGGGUGCAAACGUUGUUCGGAUUUACUGGGCGUAAAGCGCGUGUAGGCGGCUUCGCAAGUUGGAUGUGAAAUCCCACGGCUCAACCGUGGACGUGCAUCCAAAACUGCGUCGCUGGAGUCUCGGAGAGGAAGGUGGAAUGCUUGGUGUAGAGGUGAAAUUCGUAGAUAUCAAGCAGAACACCUGCGGCGAAGGCGGCCUUCUGGACGAUGACUGACGCUGAGACGCGAAAGCGUGGGGAGCAAACAGG